GACGAACGCUGGCGGCGUGCUUAACACAUGCAAGUCGAGCGGUAAGGCCCUUUCGGGGGUACACGAGCGGCGAACGGGUGAGUAACACGUGGGUGACCUGCCCUCAGCUCUGGGAUAAGCCUGGGAAACCGGGUCUAAUACUGGAUAUGACUCCAUGACGCAUGUUGUGGGGUGGAAAGCCUUGUGCGGCUGAGGAUGGGCCCGCGGCCUAUCAGCUUGUUGGUGGGGUGANGGCCUACCAAGGCGACGACGGGUAGCCGGCCUGAGAGGGCGACCGGCCACACUGGGACUGAGACACGGCCCAGACUCCUACGGGAGGCAGCAGUGGGGAAUCUUGCGCAAUGGGCGAAAGCCUGACGCAGCGACGCCGCGUGAGGGAUGACGGCCUGUGUAAC
This 395-nucleotide ribosomal RNA is filed under the name uncultured bacterium. RNAcentral describes it as "bacterial SSU rRNA". It matches the Rfam family "Bacterial small subunit ribosomal RNA", at positions 28 to 429 of the family's 1533-position model. The record is from RNAcentral.